Molecule: ribosomal RNA, 368 nt
Filed under: uncultured bacterium
Lineage: Bacteria
Description: bacterial SSU rRNA
Rfam family: Bacterial small subunit ribosomal RNA
Source: RNAcentral
ACUCCUACGGGAGGCAGCAGUAAGGAAUAUUGCGCAAUGGACGAAAGUCUGACGCAGCGACGCCGCGUGGGGGAUGAAGGUCUUCGGAUUGUAAACCCCUUUCGGCAGGGAAGAUGGAACGGGCAACCGUUCGGACGGUACCUGCAGAAGCAGCCACGGCUAACUUCGUGCCAGCAGCCGCGGUAAUACGAAGGUGGCAAGCGUUGUUCGGAUUCACUGGGCGUACAGGGAGCGUAGGCGGUUAGGUAAGCCCUCCGUGAAAUCUCCGGGCCUAACCCGGAAAGUGCAGAGGGGACUGCUUGGCUAGAGGAUGGGAGAGGAGCGCGGAAUUCCCGAAUCUCCAGAGGAUCGCCGGGAACCGAGGACGA